Molecule: ribosomal RNA, 455 nt
Filed under: uncultured bacterium
Lineage: Bacteria
Description: bacterial SSU rRNA
Rfam family: Bacterial small subunit ribosomal RNA
Source: RNAcentral
UACGGGAGGCAGCAGUGGGGAAUAUUGCACAAUGGGCGAAAGCCUGAUGCAGCUAUGCCGCGUGUAUGAAGAAGGCCUUAGGGUUGUAAAGUACUUUCAUCGGGGAGGAAAAAACAAAACUAAUAAUUUUAUUUCUUGACGUUACCCGAAAAAGAAGCACCGGCUAACUCCGUGCCAGCAGCCGCGGUAAUACGGAGGGUGCUAGCGUUAAUCAGAAUUACUGGGCGUAAAGAGCACGUAGGUGGUUUUUUUAAGUCAGAUGUGAAAUCCCUGGGCUUAACCUAGGAACUGCAUUUUGAAACUGAAAUACUAGAGUAUCGUAGAGGGAGGUAGAAUUCUAGGUGUAGCGGUGAAAUGCGUAGAUAUCUGGAGGAAUACCUGUGGCGAAAGCGGCCUCCUAAACGAAUACUGACACUGAGGUGCGAAAGCGUGGGGAGCAAACAGGGAUUAAUACC